GAUGAACGCUAGCGGCAGGCUUAACACAUGCAAGUCGAGGGGUAACAGGGAGGAGCUUGCUUUUCCGCUGACGACCGGCGCACGGGUGCGUAACGCGUAUAGAACCUACCUUUUACAGGGGAAUAGCCCAGAGAAAUUUGGAUUAAUGCCCCAUAGUAUUAUUGAAUGGCAUCAUUUAAUAAUUAAACAUUUAUGGGUAAAAGAUGGCUAUGCGUUCUAUUAGCUAGAUGGUAAGGUAACGGCUUACCAUGGCAACGAUAGAUAGGGGUCCUGAGAGGGAGAUCCCCCACACUGGUACUGAGACACGGACCAGACUCCUACGGGAGGCAGCAGUGAGGAAUAUUGGACAAUGGAGGCAACUCUGAUCCAGCCAUGCCGCGUGCAGGAAGACGGUCCUAUGGAUUGUAAACUGCUUUUAUAUAGGAAGAAACCUUUCCACGUGUGGAAAGCUGACGGUACUAUAAGAAUAAGCACCGGCUAACUCCGUGCCAGCAGCCGCGGUAAUACGGAGGGUGCAAGCGUUAUCCGGAAUCAUUGGGUUUAAAGGGUCCGUAGGCGGACUAAUAAGUCAGGGGUGAAAUCCAACAGCUUAACUGUUGAACUGCCUUUGAUACUGUUAGUCUUGAGUUAUAUGGAAGUAGAUAGAAUAUGUAGUGUAGCGGUGAAAUGCUUAGAGAUUACAUAGAAUACCGAUUGCGAAGGCAGUCUACUACGUAUAUACUGACGCUAAU
Molecule: ribosomal RNA, 731 nt
Filed under: Lutibacter sp.
Lineage: Bacteria; Pseudomonadati; Bacteroidota; Flavobacteriia; Flavobacteriales; Flavobacteriaceae
Description: bacterial SSU rRNA
Rfam family: Bacterial small subunit ribosomal RNA
Source: RNAcentral